RNAcentral lists this ribosomal RNA (489 nucleotides) under uncultured bacterium. Its description in RNAcentral is "partial 16S ribosomal RNA". It matches the Rfam family "Bacterial small subunit ribosomal RNA", at positions 28 to 506 of the family's 1533-position model. The record is from RNAcentral.
GAUGAACGCUAGCGAUAGGCUUAACACAUGCAAGUCGAGGGGCAGCAUGGUCUUAGCUUGCUAAGACUGAUGGCGACCGGCGCACGGGUGCGUAACGCGUAUGCAACUUGCCUCACAGAGGGGGAUAACCCGUCGAAAGACGGACUAAUACCGCGUACACUCUAUUUUGGGCAUCCAAGGUAGAGGAAAUGAAAUUCGCUGUGAGAUAGGCAUGCGUCCCAUUAGCUAGUUGGUGAGGUAACGGCUCACCAAGGCGACGAUGGGUAGGGGAACUGAGAGGUUGAACCCCCACACUGGUACUGAGACACGGACCAGACUCCUACGGGAGGCAGCAGUGAGGAAUAUUGGUCAAUGGGCGAGAGCCUGAACCAGCCAAGUCGCGUGAAGGAUGACUGUCUUAUGGAUUGUAAACUUCUUUUGUAGGGGAAUAAAGAGGGGCACGUGUGCCCCAGUGAAUGUACCCUACGAAUAAGCAUCGGCUAACUCCGU